RNAcentral lists this long non-coding RNA (686 nucleotides) under Manihot esculenta (cassava). Its description in RNAcentral is "long non-coding RNA (MESC_LNC010587)". Lineage: Eukaryota; Viridiplantae; Streptophyta; Magnoliopsida; Malpighiales; Euphorbiaceae. The record is from RNAcentral.
GAAAUGUCUGUACUUUUGUAGGACCAAAUGUCUUGUUUGGUAAUGAAAAUGGUGGCAGGCUCGUCCAAAAGAUGGCAAAGACUUGUUCAACUUCCAUGGCUGUCAUCCACAGGGCACAAGGCCAGGAUUCAUCUCACUUCACUACUCUAUGAUUAAGCUGAUUGUGUAGUUUCUUUCAGUAGGCAAACGAUUUCUCAUUCCCUUAAAAAUUAAAUCUCCUUGUCAGAUAAUCUCCUUAUAUUAAUACUAACCUAACUUUUCUACAUUCCAUUGUCCUAUCAAAGCCUAAGGCGUUGAGUGGAUGUAGACUGCAAGCAUUUAUUAUUUGUCCUUCAGGCUUCAAUAACAACGAAACUUCCCCAAAUAAUAAUUCUUUGUGCUAAUUCAGUACACAACACAAAAUUCAUUUCUACUUAUCAGAAUAUCUUUUAUCAUAUUCAUAUAUUUUGGAUUUUAAUUAAAUACUAAACAUUGUUACUUUUAUUAAAUUACUACAUAUAUAUUUCUUAUACGCAAAAGUAACAAUGCAAAAAUUAAAUUACUACCAAAUUCAAGAAAAUUGAGAUUCUGAUUCCAUUAGUGAAUUAGAAAAUUGACAUUUUACCUGCCUGCUACUGAACAGCUCGCUUGGACGCUUGCAAGAAACCUUUUGUCUCUGACAUAAAUGGAGAAAUUUAUGAUAAUUC